UGACCAUAUUUGCCAAUGCAAAUACAAUCGGCCGGACGGACAGCCAGGUCAAAUGCCGA
This 59-nucleotide small RNA is filed under the name unclassified sequences. Its description in RNAcentral is "Streptococcus sRNA SpF59 (ldcC RNA)". It matches the Rfam family "Streptococcus sRNA SpF59 (ldcC RNA)". The record is from Rfam by way of RNAcentral.